AUUGAACGCUGGCGGCAUGCUUUACACAUGCAAGUCGAACGGCAGCGCGGGCUUCGGCCUGGCGGCGAGUGGCGAACGGGUGAGUAAUACAUCAGAACGUGCCCAGUAGUGGGGGAUAGCUCGGCGAAAGCCGGAUUAAUACCGCAUACGACCUGAGGGUGAAAGCGGGGGAUCUUCGGACCUCGCGCUAUUUGAGCGGCCGAUGGCAGAUUAGCUAGUUGGUGGGGUAAAGGCCUACCAAGGCGACGAUCUGUAGCUGGUCUGAGAGGACGACCAGCCACACUGGAACUGAGACACGGCCCAGACUCCUACGGGAGGCAGCAGUGGGGAAUUUUGGACAAUGGGCGAAAGCCUGAUCCAGCAAUGCCGCGUGUGUGAUGAAGGCCUUCGGGUUGUAAAGCACUUUUGGCGGGAACGAAAAGGACUGUGCCAAUACCACGGUUCGAUGACGGUACCCGCAGAAUAAGCACCGGCUAACUACGUG
This 484-nucleotide ribosomal RNA is filed under the name uncultured bacterium. RNAcentral's name for it is "partial 16S ribosomal RNA". It matches the Rfam family "Bacterial small subunit ribosomal RNA", at positions 30 to 507 of the family's 1533-position model. The record is from RNAcentral.